GCAUCUUGGAGUCAAGGGACCUGCGCCUAGAAAAGCGCACCUUGUUUCGGCUGGAUCUUGUUCCAAUUAACCGGUCAGUGGGACUCAAGGCCAAGCCCACCAAGCCCGUCACGGAGGUGCUACGGCCCGUGGUGGCCAAGUACGGCCUGGACCUCAGUGGCCUGCUGGUGAGGCUG
RNAcentral lists this small RNA (176 nucleotides) under Pongo abelii (Sumatran orangutan). RNAcentral describes it as "processed transcript". The record is from RNAcentral. Lineage: Eukaryota; Metazoa; Chordata; Mammalia; Primates; Hominidae.